Molecule: ribosomal RNA, 449 nt
Filed under: uncultured bacterium
Lineage: Bacteria
Description: partial 16S ribosomal RNA
Rfam family: Bacterial small subunit ribosomal RNA
Source: RNAcentral
AACGAACGCUGGCGGCAUGCCUAACACAUGCAAGUCGAACGAAGGCUUCGGCCUUAGUGGCGCACGGGUGCGUAACGCGUGGGAAUCUGCCCCUCGGUUCGGAAUAACAGUUAGAAAUGACUGCUAAUACCGGAUGAUGACUUCGGUCCAAAGAUUUAUCGCCGAGGGAUGAGCCCGCGUAAGAUUAGGUAGUUGGUGGGGUAAAGGCCUACCAAGCCGACGAUCUUUAGCUGGUCUGAGAGGAUGAUCAGCCACACUGGGACUGAGACACGGCCCAGACUCCUACGGGAGGCAGCAGUGGGGAAUAUUGGACAAUGGGCGAAAGCCUGAUCCAGCAAUGCCGCGUGAGUGAUGAAGGCCUUAGGGUUGUAAAGCUCUUUUACCAGGGAUGAUAAUGACAGUACCUGGAGAAUAAGCACCGGCUAACUACGUGCCAGCCGCCGCGGUAA